GUGCUUGCUUUGGCUGCACAUAUAUGAAAAUUGGAUGAUAUAGAGAAGAUUAGCAAGGCCCAUGUGCAAGAAUGACACACAAAUUUGUGGUGUUCCAUAUUUUU
Eptesicus fuscus (big brown bat) is the source of this 104-nucleotide small nuclear RNA. NCBI's taxonomy places the organism in Eukaryota, Metazoa, Chordata, Mammalia, Chiroptera, Vespertilionidae. The record is from RefSeq and is a predicted model, not a curated record.